Molecule: long non-coding RNA, 329 nt
Organism: Pyrus x bretschneideri (Chinese white pear)
Lineage: Eukaryota; Viridiplantae; Streptophyta; Magnoliopsida; Rosales; Rosaceae
Exons: 2
Source: RefSeq, a predicted model, not a curated record
AGAAGAAUGUAACCAAUCUAGGGGAGGCUCAGGGACCUUCGAGACGUCGAUGUGAUCUGUUCAAGAAUUGCAAAGGUGUGGUGACUACGAGGAAUUUCAACGGUGUUCUGACAGAAUGGACCAAAUGAGGACUCACCUUCGGGUGGUUCAUCUUAGAAGUUGUGUAUUUUAAAGCUUCCGAACUGUGUAAAUGGUUACGUCACUCUCACGUGACGGCCAGCAUGCCCUCCUUCGGGACGGGGUGUGUCAAUGAGGAUUUUUUAAGGUGAAGGAUGAACCCUAGGGCUUUUACAAAUUGAUUUUCUUUAAAUUAGUUUUUAGUUGACUUA